Molecule: long non-coding RNA, 855 nt
Organism: Ruditapes philippinarum (Manila clam)
Lineage: Eukaryota; Metazoa; Mollusca; Bivalvia; Venerida; Veneridae
Exons: 3
Source: RefSeq, a predicted model, not a curated record
GAAACUUGAUGAAUUUCAAAACGAGGCUACAACAACAAUUUGUUUUCAAAUUCAAACAAAGACAAAGUAAGGACAUUAAUUAUGCACAUCAUAGAAGACAACUCGCAUAGUGAAAAACUGACACUUAAUUUUUGUGUGAUGACAAUUAGCUGAUAAGAUUGUAUACAUGAAAAACAGUCGACAGAAAACACCAUUUGGACUUAAAAGAAUGAUAAGUGCAUCAAAUUAAGUUUCAAGAAAAAAAAACAAGUUGAACCUCAAAACAAGUUUGACAUAGUGUCUUCGUAGAUGAAAAUAAUCAGGAUCCAGUGGUGGACGUUUAGUAUACCAGAAUUAUUCACACGGAGGAGUAUAUCUCCAAAUUUAAUACUUUUAAGUUAGUUUUGAAAGAAUAAAGAUUCAAAAUUACUUACUUUCUUUUAAUGUGAAUAUUUAUUUAUUGUUUUGUGUGUUACACUUAAUUUUGACAGAAGGGAAUAUUUUCCCUCACUAAUCCGAUUUGUUACCGAUGAAAUCAACUGCUAAAGAAAGCUUUAUAUUGCCAUGAUUUCCAUUUUCUAUGAGUUAUUUAAAAGAAAACCUUUUUAAGCAUGCUGUAAACAUGAAUACUUUAAUUGACAUAUAUUGUAAUAGUGUAUAUUAGUUAAUGUAUACUGUAGACUUUUAAAUGAAAAUGAUUUGUUGACUGUUGUUUGUUAUAAUUUUGGAUUACAAAAUGUGUAUUAUUGUAUUGACUGAAAGAGGUCUGAUAAAUGUUGAACUUCAAUUUUGAAAAGACAUGUAGCUCUUAUUUUUAUAUACAAUUUAUAAAUAUCAAACUUUAUUUUAUUAUCACUAUAAAUGAUUAAAAGUGAG